Molecule: ribosomal RNA, 498 nt
Filed under: uncultured Glomeromycotina
Lineage: Eukaryota; Fungi; Glomeromycota
Description: partial small subunit ribosomal RNA
Rfam family: Eukaryotic small subunit ribosomal RNA
Source: RNAcentral
CCAAUAGCGUAUAUUAAAGUUGUUGCAGUUAAAAAGCUCGUAGUUGAAUUUCGGGAUCAAUAUAUUGGUCGUGCCUUGGUACGUACUAAUUUAUUGGUUUCUUCCUUCUGACGAACCAUGAUGUCAUUAACUUGGUGUUAUGGGGAAUCAGGACUGUUACUUUGAAAAAAUUAGAGUGUUUAAAGCAGGCUCACGCUUGAAUACAUUAGCAUGGAAUAAUGAAAUAGGACGUUUGAUUCUAUUUUGUUGGUUUCUAGGAUCGACGUAAUGAUUAAUAGGGAUAGUUGGGGGCAUUAGUAUUCAAUUGUCAGAGGUGAAAUUCUUGGAUUUAUUGAAGACUAACUACUGCGAAAGCAUUUGCCAAGGAUGUUUUCAUUAAUCAAGAACGAAAGUUAGGGGAUCGAAGACGAUCAGAUACCGUCGUAGUCUUAACCAUAAACUAUGCCGACUAGGGAUCGGAUGAUGUUAAUUUUUUAAUGACUCAUUCGGCGCCUUACG